CCUCUGAGAAGGACCAAAUAAUUGUAGUCUUAAAGGCCGAAGGUUUUGAAAUAGUUCGUUCGAAUAAUCAACGAAGGUACUUUUAAAAGUACCAAAACUUUGCCUGUCAAUUUAAUUCAAACCUUUGCGCCGAUUGAGAAAAAAAGUAUUUUGUCUAUGAACUAGUUCAUUCAAUUUCGUGAAUAGGU
Long non-coding RNA from Pectinophora gossypiella (pink bollworm), 188 nucleotides. RefSeq lists it as uncharacterized. The transcript has 2 exons. The record is from RefSeq and is a predicted model, not a curated record. Lineage: Eukaryota; Metazoa; Arthropoda; Insecta; Lepidoptera; Gelechiidae.